This 403-nucleotide ribosomal RNA is filed under the name uncultured bacterium. Its description in RNAcentral is "bacterial SSU rRNA". It matches the Rfam family "Bacterial small subunit ribosomal RNA", at positions 29 to 477 of the family's 1533-position model. The record is from RNAcentral.
AACGAACGCUGGCGGCAGGCUUAACACAUGCAAGUCGAACGCACUCUUCGGAGUGAGUGGCAGACGGGUGAGUAACGCGUGGGAACGUACCUUUCGGUUCGGAAUAACCCAGGGAAACUUGGGCUAAUACCGGAUGCGCCGGAAACGGGAAAGAUUUAUCGCCGAAAGAUCGGCCCGCGUCGGAUUAGCUAGUUGGUGGGGUAAAGGCCUACCAAGGCGACGAUCCGUAGCUGGUCUGAGAGGAUGAUCAGCCACACUGGGACUGAGACACGGCCCAGACUCCUACGGGAGGCAGCAGUGGGGAAUAUUGGACAAUGGGCGAAAGCCUGAUCCAGCCAUGCCGCGUGAGUGAAGAAGGCCUUAGGGUUGUAAAGCUCUUUCAGCGGGGACGAUAAUGACGGUA